GACGAACGCUGGCGGCGUGCUUAACACAUGCAAGUCGAACGGAAAGGCCCUGCUUUUGUGGGGUGCUCGAGUGGCGAACGGGUGAGUAACACGUGAGUAACCUGCCCUUGACUUUGGGAUAACUUCAGGAAACUGGGGCUAAUACCGGAUAUGAGCUCCUGCUGCAUGGUGUUGGUUGGAAAGUUUCGGCGGUUGGGGAUGGACUCGCGGCUUAUCAGCUUGUUUGUGAGGUAGUGGCUUACCAAGGCUUUGACGGGUAGCCGGCCUGAGAGGGUGACCGGGCACAAUGGGACUGAGAUACGGCCCAGACGCCUACGGGAGGCAGCAGUGGGGAAUAUUGCACAAUGGGCGGAAGCGUGAUGCAGCAACGCCGCGUGCGGGAUGACGGCCUUCGGGUUGUAAACCGCUGUGGAAUGUGACGAAGAGUGAGUGACGGUAAUGGGUAAAGAAGCACCGGCUAACUACGUG
Molecule: ribosomal RNA, 468 nt
Filed under: uncultured bacterium
Lineage: Bacteria
Description: partial 16S ribosomal RNA
Rfam family: Bacterial small subunit ribosomal RNA
Source: RNAcentral